This is a non-coding RNA of Vicugna pacos (alpaca), 1467 nucleotides long. Lineage: Eukaryota; Metazoa; Chordata; Mammalia; Artiodactyla; Camelidae. The record is from RefSeq and is a predicted model, not a curated record.
ACUAAACCUAUCCUAAAAGGUUUUUUUUUUUAAAUUUAGAUCUUAUUGAAAAGUCUUCUCUAAACAGAAAAGAAGUAAGAAUCUACAGGAAAAGAGAAAAUCGACACGCCGUGAAGCGUGGGAAGGCCCGUCCUACUCGUGCAGGGCAGACAUCACUGUGGCUCUGCCCCAUGUCCAGGGUUCAGAGGUGGAGAAGCCCAGGGCACAGUGAAGUUCACAAAUGGUUCACCCUGGACCUGACAGGGUCGGGGCACAGUGUCUCCAGAGGAACUGACACUGUAUCGAGACCUUAAGGAUGCUCGAUCAGCCGGGAGAGAGGAGGGAUGUGCUGCCCAGACUGCUUCCUGACCUGCACAGGGAACACCUGACGUCUCAUCUCAGGGACUCUGAAGUCCAUAACACAGCGCUGUCCUCUAACCACCAUGCUGCACGCUGCUUCCAGGACUGAUUCGUGUAUUCAUCUCAAGAUUGUGCCCUAAAACAGUGUCUCCCCAGUCCUCACAGCGCUGCAGCCCCUGGUGACCACCACUCUACUGUCCCCUGUUACAAGUUCAGCUUUUUAUAUAAUAUAAGUGAGAUCAUACAGUAUUUGUCUUUCUAUGUCUGACUUACCUCCCUCAAGGUCAAGCCAUGUUGCUGCAAAUGACAGGAUUUCCUUCCUUCUCAAGGCUGCGUAAUAGUCCACUGUGCACACACACGUGUCUUUGUCCAUUUAACCGUGAUGGACAUGCAGGCUGUUUCCGCAUCCUGGCUGCCGUCGGCAGUGCUGCAGUGAAUAUGUGGGUGCAGAUGUCUCUUCAGUGCCCUCUUUUCGUCUCCUUUGUAUUUAUGCCCAGGCGUGGAAUUGCUGGAUCACCGAGAAUUCCAUUUCUGCUGGAUCAUGGGACAGUUCUGUUUAAAAUUUUUUGAGGAACCUCCAACACUGUUCUCCACAGGGACUGCACCAUUCACAUUCGCACCAGAAGUGCAGGAAGCGCCCUGCUCUCCACGUCCUUGCCAGCACUUGUCAUUUCUUAUCUUUUUGACAACAGCCCUUCUGGCAGGUGUGAGGUAACAGCUCACAGAGGGCAUCUGUGGAUCUUCUUUGGAAAAAUGUCUGUUUAGUUCUGCUCCCCAUUUUUAAAGCCAAAUUUUUUUUGUUACUAAGUUAUAGGAAUUAUUUAUAUAUUUUUGGAUAUUAACACCUUAUCAGAUACACGGUUGUCAAAUACUUUCUUCCAUUCUGUAGGUUGUCUUUUCAUUUUGUUGAUUGGUUCCUUUGCUACACAGAAAAUUUUUAGUUUGCUGUUGCCACACUAGCUAGUUUUUUCUUUUGUUUCUGGUGUUUUUGGUGUCAUAUCCAAAAAUCACUGCAAGACCCACGUCAGGCAGCUUCUUCCCUACAUUUCCUACUAGAAGCUUCAUGGUAUCAGGUCUCAUGUUAAGUCUUUAAUCCAUCUCAAGUUAAUUUUUGUGAGCGGGAUAGGA